CGUAGGUGAACCUGCGGAAGGAUCAUUAACAAAUCCACUGCCGUCGCACAGCGAUGGUAAUCACCGUGCACUGGUCGUCGAGGGAGGAGAACUCCACUCGGUUCAAGGAGGUGUGCUGCCGGCGUUGACUCGGGUGCAGCACUCAAAUCAGGGGACAUCUCCCGUGUGGCCGUCCCCUGGGCCUCGAACCGAGUUCUCCUCCUUUUGACUUUAACUUUUUUUUGACUCUGUGAACUGUGUUGGUCUGAUUUGUGAAUUGUUGGUUGAAAAUGUUGACAACUUCCGACGGUGGAUCUCUUGGCUCGUGCAUCGAUGAAGAACGCAGCAAGCUGCGAUACGUAGUGUGAAUUGCAGAAUUCAGUGAAUCAUCGAGUCUUUGAACGCAAAUGGCGCUCCCGGGGUCUCCUCGGGAGCAGGUCUGUCCGAGCGUCUGCCAACCUAAAGUCCUUGCUGAAUGCAAGGAGAUUGGGGAACUGUGGUGCGCGCCAUUCGUCGUGCACCGCACUCCCUGAAGAUUGCAGGACCGGUUUGGUUGCCAACCGUAGGAGUCGGUCGGUGACAACGGUGCACAGUGUUGUCACGCCGUGCCCCAUACGUGUGGCCCUGCCGGUGGCAUGCCAUCAGGUGACG
This 630-nucleotide unclassified non-coding RNA is filed under the name Candidaspongia flabellata. Its description in RNAcentral is "sequence contains ITS1, 5.8S rRNA gene, ITS2". The stretch from base 278 to 432 matches the Rfam family "5.8S ribosomal RNA". Lineage: Eukaryota; Metazoa; Porifera; Demospongiae; Dictyoceratida; Thorectidae. The record is from RNAcentral.